This 694-nucleotide ribosomal RNA is filed under the name Bacillus mojavensis. Its description in RNAcentral is "bacterial SSU rRNA". It matches the Rfam family "Bacterial small subunit ribosomal RNA", at positions 594 to 1283 of the family's 1533-position model. The record is from RNAcentral. Lineage: Bacteria; Bacillati; Bacillota; Bacilli; Caryophanales; Bacillaceae.
UGAAAAGCCCCCGGCUCCAACCGGGGAGGGUCAUUUGGAAACUGGGGAACUUUGAGUUGCAGAAGAGGAGAGUGGAAUUUCCACGUGUAGCGGUGAAAUGCGUAGAGAUGUGGAGGAACACCAGUGGCGAAGGCGACUCUCUGGUCUGUAACUGACGCUGAGGAGCGAAAGCGUGGGGAGCGAACAGGAUUAGAUACCCUGGUAGUCCACGCCGUAAACGAUGAGUGCUAAGUGUUAGGGGGUUUCCGCCCCUUAGUGCUGCAGCUAACGCAUUAAGCACUCCGCCUGGGGAGUACGGUCGCAAGACUGAAACUCAAAGGAAUUGACGGGGGCCCGCACAAGCGGUGGAGCAUGUGGUUUAAUUCGAAGCAACGCGAAGAACCUUACCAGGUCUUGACAUCCUCUGACAAUCCUAGAGAUAGGACGUCCCCUUCGGGGGCAGAGUGACAGGUGGUGCAUGGUUGUCGUCAGCUCGUGUCGUGAGAUGUUGGGUUAAGUCCCGCAACGAGCGCAACCCUUGAUCUUAGUUGCCAGCAUUCAGUUGGGCACUCUAAGGUGACUGCCGGUGACAAACCGGAGGAAGGUGGGGAUGACGUCAAAUCAUCAUGCCCCUUAUGACCUGGGCUACACACGUGCUACAAUGGACAGAACAAAGGGCAGCGAAACCGCGAGGUUAAGCCAAUCCCACAAAUCU